Molecule: ribosomal RNA, 327 nt
Filed under: uncultured eukaryote
Lineage: Eukaryota
Description: partial 18S ribosomal RNA
Rfam family: Eukaryotic small subunit ribosomal RNA
Source: RNAcentral
CCCUUAGAUGUUCUGGGCUGCACGCGCGCUACACUGAUGCACUCAACGAGUUUACGACCUUGCCCGAUAGGGUUGGGUAAUCUUUUUAAAAUGCAUCGUGAUGGGGAUAGAUUAUUGCAAUUAUUAAUCUUCAACGAGGAAUUCCUAGUAAGCGCGAGUCAUCAGCUCGUGCUGAUUACGUCCCUGCCCUUUGUACACACCGCCCGUCGCUACUACCGAUUGAACGUUUUAGUGAGGCAUUUGGACCGACGCAUCUCAGUUUAACCGCUGGUUUGUGUUGGAAAGACUUCCAAACUUGAGCGUUUAGAGGAAGUAAAAGUCGUAACA